AUGGAGCCCACACCCUUGUCAGUGUGCAUCUCGCUGCUCUGUAUCGCGCUGCUGUGCCUCCUAUGGCACAAGUCAACGAAGCCCCCCGCCGGUGCGCCUGCACCGCCACGGCCGCCGGGCCCAACGCCGUUCCCAGUCAUAGGCAACAUCCCGGACCUGGUCCGCGGCGGCGAGCUACACCGCGCGCUCGCUCGCCUGUCGGUGUCCUACGGCCCCGUCAUGUCGAUGAGGCUCGGCAUGGCGAGCCUCGUCGUGCUGUCGUCCCCGGCUACGGCGCACGAGGCGCUCCACAAGAAGGAGGGUGCCGUCUCCUCCCGGUGGGUCCCCGACAGCGCCAGCGUCAUGGGCCACAGCGGCAUCUCCAUGGUGUGGCUCCCGAGCUCCAGCCCGCUGUGGAAGCACCUGCGCACCGUGGCGAGCACCCUGCUCUUCACGUCCCGGCGGCUCGGCGCCAGUCGCGCCAUCCAGGAGCGCAAGGCCCGGGAGCUCGUUGACCACUUACACGCGAGCUCCGGCCGCCCGGUGCGCGUCGCGCUCCCCGUGUUCAGCGCCGUGCUCAACAUGCUCUCCAGCGUUCUGUUCUCGGAGGACGUCGUCGAGCUGGGGUCGGUGACCGGGCAGGAGUUCAUGGAGCUCAUCGCAGACUCUGUUGCGGAGACGGCCAAGCCGAACAUCUCCGACUUCUUCCCAUUCCUCAGCUCGCUAGAUCUCAGCCGCCGCCGCCGCGCGGUCGCCGCGAAUCUCAGCAGAUUCUACCAGUUCUUCGACGCUGUCAUAGACCGUCGGUUGAACAGUGCCGAGAAGCCCGGCGACCUGCUGGAGUCGCUGCUCGAGCUCCCCGCCAAGUCCCAGCUCGAGCGGCCGGUGAUCCGAGCUCUCCUAACGGAUCUGUUCAUCGCUGGGAGCCACACGACGACGACCACGGUGGAGUGGGCGAUGGCGGAGCUGCUCCGCAACCCGACCAAAAUGGCGAAGGCGCGCGCCGAGCUAAGGGAAGCGUUCGGAUCCGGCAACGCAGAGGAAGGUGACCUCGCCAACCUCCCGUAUCUGCAGGCCGUGAUGAAGGAGACGAUGCGGCUGCAUCCCCCAGCGCCGCUGCUGCUGCCGCACGAGGUGUCGGAGACCGGCGUGACACUCGGCGGCUGCUCGGUGCCGAAGGGCGCCCGUGUUCUAAUCAACGUGUGGGCCAUCGGAAGGGACCCCGAGGUGUGGGCUGAGCCGGAGGUGUUCAUGCCGGAGAGGUUCUUGGACAGGGAGGUGGACUUCCGGGGGAGGGCGUUGGAGUUCAUACCGUUCGGAUCGGGGCGGAGGGCGUGCCCCGGGAUGCCGCUGGCCGUGACGGUCGUGCCGAUGGUGUUGGCAUCGCUGCUCCACGAGUUCGAAUGGAGGCUGCCGGAUGGGAUGGCGCCCGGUGAUGUGGAUCUCAGCGACCGGUUUGGCGCCGCGCUAGAGCUCGCCGUUCCUCUGAGGGCCGUGCCGGUUUGGACGAAAGGCGCGGAGGAUUUGAGUUUUUCUUCGUGA
RNAcentral lists this ribosomal RNA (1521 nucleotides) under Triticum aestivum (bread wheat). RNAcentral's name for it is "partial small subunit ribosomal RNA". Lineage: Eukaryota; Viridiplantae; Streptophyta; Magnoliopsida; Poales; Poaceae. The record is from RNAcentral.